ACACUCCUGCGGGAGGCAGCAAUGGGGAAUUUUGGACAAUGGGCGAAAGCCUGAUCCAGCAAUGCCGCGUGAGUGAAGAAGGCCUUCGGGUUGUAAAGCUCUUUUGUCAGGGAAGAAACGGUGAAAGCUAAUAUCUUUUGCUAAUGACGGUACCUGAAGAAUAAGCACCGGCUAACUACGUGCCAGCAGCCGCGGUAAUACGUAGGGUGCAAGCGUUAAUCGGAAUUACUGGGCGUAAAGCGUGCGCAGGCGGUUUUGUAAGUCUGAUGUGAAAUCCCCGGGCUCAACCUGGGAAUUGCAUUGGAGACUGCAAGGCUAGAAUCUGGCAGAGGGGGGUAGAAUUCCACGUGUAGCAGUGAAAUGCGUAGAUAUGUGGAGGAACACCGAUGGCGAAGGCAGCCCCCUGGGUCAAGAUUGACGCUCAUGCACGAAAGCGUGGGGAGCAAACAGGAUUAGAAACCCCUGUAGUCCCAUG
Molecule: ribosomal RNA, 475 nt
Filed under: uncultured organism
Description: partial 16S ribosomal RNA
Rfam family: Bacterial small subunit ribosomal RNA
Source: RNAcentral